Molecule: ribosomal RNA, 503 nt
Filed under: uncultured bacterium
Lineage: Bacteria
Description: bacterial SSU rRNA
Rfam family: Bacterial small subunit ribosomal RNA
Source: RNAcentral
GAUUAACGCUAGCGGCAGGCCUAAUACAUGCAAGUCGAACGGGAUUCAAAGUAGCAAUAUUUUGAUGAGAGUGGCGCACGGGUGAGUAACACGUAUGCAAUUUACCUUUAACUGGGGGAUAGCCCUCCGAAAGGAGGAUUAAUACCGCAUAAUAUAUUGAAAUGGCAUCAUUUUUAAUAUUAAACCUACGGGGGUUAAAGAUGAGCAUGCAUCCGAUUAGCUAGUUGGUGUGGUAACGGCUCACCAAGGCAACGAUCGGUAGGGGGUCUGAGAGGAUGAUCCCCCACACUGGUACUGAGACACGGACCAGACUCCUACGGGAGGCAGCAGUAAGGAAUAUUGGACAAUGGAGGCAACUCUGAUCCAGCCAUGCCGCGUGAAGGAUUAAGGCCCUAUGGGUUGUAAACUUCUUUUAGACGGACAAACCCUUUACGUGUAAAGGGUUGAUGGUACUGUCAGAAUAAGCAUCGGCUAACUUCGUGCCAGCAGCCGCGGUAACAGAG